Molecule: long non-coding RNA, 914 nt
Filed under: Struthio camelus australis
Lineage: Eukaryota; Metazoa; Chordata; Aves; Struthioniformes; Struthionidae
Description: lncRNA (ENSSCUG00000008555.1)
Source: RNAcentral
UGAAUUUUUGGGGAGUACAAGGGGACUGCCAAAUAUCAAUAGUCCCUGAUAUAAUCAGGAACUUGUCCUUGCCCUUUUUUUUCCCCCAGGAGGUUCAGAAGUACUGUGGAAUGAGAGAAGAGUGUCAACAGAAAGUCUGAACCUGAGCUGUCAACAAGUUGGCUGAAUGGUGUGGCUGUCACAUCCCCUGAAUAUACUGGAGCUUUCGUGACAAGAUUUAAAUUUUCUACUAGUGCAGACUGAUUUUAUUUUGAACAAUUUUGAGGCAUUAGAAAACUUUUAUCUACUAAGCUGUAUCAGCAACUGGAAGGAUCUGGAAGGACUAAAGUAACUAUUUGUUCCAAACAACCUACAUAGCUCUUUUUUUCUUCUUUUGGCAAUUACCCACGAAUGCAUUUCAGUUUUAGAGAUCCUUGUAGUAAUCUUUACAGCUGUGUUUGACCAAUGGAUUGCAUGAACUGCUCACCAUCUGUAAGGGAAAAGAUUUUUUCAGUACAGUCAUCCCAAUCUUUGUAAAGUUAGCGGUCUGCCCCUGCAAAAAAUCCUGAUACUGGCUUAAAGAUCGUGAAAUUGGAACACUUGCAGGAAAGCAUUUUAAAGUUGAAUUCUAAAAGUCACAUUAUAUUGUUGUAUCUUCUGAUCAGAAGCUGUCAUCUUUAUAUACUACUUUUUUCUCCUUCCACUCUUCUCUCCUUCCCAAGUUCCUAUAUCUCCUGACAACCAAUUUUUGCUAUGAGAGUGAAACUGCUUUUUUCAGAAAUUUGUUAGGACAGACUGUUGGCUCUUGGAAUAUUUCUGAACAGCUGAUAAUGGAGAGAAAGCUGCUGAAUCACAUCACUGUGCUGAGUGUAUUCCUCAGAUGGUCUCUCCUUAACGAUGCAAGAAAAGAAAAGGUAAACCAACGUAUAUCAAAG